GUGCACCAGUCGCGAAAACUUUACAAUGUGCGAAAGCACGAUAAGGGAACUCUGAGUGCCUCCUAAGGAGGCUGUUCUGAUGUCUAAAAGCAACAGAAGUAAGGGCUGGGUAAGACCGGUGCCAGCCGCCGCGGUAACACCGGCAGCCCAAGUGGUAGCCACGUUUAUUGGGUCUAAAGCGUUCGUAGCCGGCCAGGUAAGUUCCUUGGUAAAUUUAGCCGCUUAACGGUUAAGCUUUCAGGGAAUACUGCUUGGCUUGGGACUGGGAGAGGUCAGAGGUACUCCGGGGGUAGGGGUGAAAUCUAUUAAUCCCUGGGGACCACCGGUAGCGAAGGCGUCUGACCAGACCAGGUCCGACGGUGAGGGACGAAGGCUAGGGGCGCGAACCGGAUUAGAUACCCCUGUAGU
Molecule: ribosomal RNA, 408 nt
Filed under: uncultured microorganism
Description: bacterial SSU rRNA
Rfam family: Archaeal small subunit ribosomal RNA
Source: RNAcentral